This 442-nucleotide ribosomal RNA is filed under the name uncultured bacterium. RNAcentral's name for it is "bacterial SSU rRNA". It matches the Rfam family "Bacterial small subunit ribosomal RNA", at positions 337 to 796 of the family's 1533-position model. The record is from RNAcentral.
GCCUACGGGAGGCAGCAGUGGGGAAUAUUGGACAAUGGGGGCAACCCUGAUCCAGCAAUGCCGCGUGAGUGAUGAAGGCCUUAGGGUUGUAAAGCUCUUUUACCCGGGAUGAUAAUGACAGUACCGGGAGAAUAAGCUCCGGCUAACUCCGUGCCAGCAGCCGCGGUAAUACGGAGGGAGCUAGCGUUGUUCGGAAUUACUGGGCGUAAAGCGCACGUAGGCGGCUAUUCAAGUCAGAGGUGAAAGCCCGGGGCUCAACCCCGGAACUGCCUUUGAAACUAGAUAGCUUGAAUCCAGGAGAGGUGAGUGGAAUUCCGAGUGUAGAGGUGAAAUUCGUAGAUAUUCGGAAGAACACCAGUGGCGAAGGCGGCUCACUGGACUGGUAUUGACGCUGAGGUGCGAAAGCGUGGGGAGCAAACAGGAUUAGAUACCCUAGUAGUCG